CUGAAAUCUUGUUAAGAACACCCAAACUCUUUUGCCGUUUCUUAAUCUUGGCAAGUUCAUGGAGUAAACUGAGAAUUAUAUGAAACACAAUCAAUCCAUACAACUCCAUAAGACAUAACAAUUAAGCAACUCCCCAGAGACAUGCAACAUUUUUGGAACAAAACGUAACAAAAUAGUAGCGUUGAUACGGUGAUGUGUAUUUGCAAAAAGCAACAUUAUUUCCUUCAAUAAAGAAUAUUCAUCCUGCUCUAACCGAGAAAUAAUCUACUCAGUCUGUUUGAACCCAUUAAAAACAUAAAAAAAUUAGGCUAUUUAAGAAUACGAAAAAUUUAAGCGCCUGCCUUCCAUGGUCAGUCUUUCAUGUACAUUUAAG
Molecule: non-coding RNA, 373 nt
Organism: Paramuricea clavata
Lineage: Eukaryota; Metazoa; Cnidaria; Anthozoa; Malacalcyonacea; Plexauridae
Source: the annotation of a GenBank genome assembly